GAUGAACGCUGGCGGCGUGCCUAACACAUGCAAGUCGAGCGAACAGACGAGGAGCUUGCUCCUCUGACGUUAGCGGCGGACGGGUGAGUAACACGUGGAUAACCUACUUAUAAGACUUGGAUAAUUUCGGGAAACCGGAGCUAAUACUGCAUAAUAUAUUGAACCGCAUGGUUCAAUAGUGAAAGACGGCUUUGCUGUCACUUAUAGAUGGAUUCGCGCCGCAUUAGCUAGUUGGUAAGGUAACGGCUUACCAAGGCAACGAUGCGUAGCCGACCUGAGAGGAUGAUCGGCCACACUGGAACUGAGACACGGUCCAGACUCCUACGGGAGGCAGCAGUAGGGAAUCUUCCGCAAUGGGCGAAAGCCUGACGGAGCAACGCCGCGUGGGUGAUGAAGGUCUUCGGAUCGUAAAGCUCUGUUAUUGGGGAAGAACAAAUGUGUAAGUAACUAUGGACGUCUUGACGGUACCUAAUCAAAAAGCCACGGCUAACUACGUG
RNAcentral lists this ribosomal RNA (497 nucleotides) under uncultured bacterium. RNAcentral describes it as "partial 16S ribosomal RNA". It matches the Rfam family "Bacterial small subunit ribosomal RNA", at positions 28 to 507 of the family's 1533-position model. The record is from RNAcentral.